Molecule: small RNA, 117 nt
Filed under: Salmonella enterica
Lineage: Bacteria; Pseudomonadati; Pseudomonadota; Gammaproteobacteria; Enterobacterales; Enterobacteriaceae
Also listed under: 1 other name
Description: partial RtT sRNA
Rfam family: RtT RNA
About the family: This family represents a bacterial cis-regulatory element known as RtT RNA. The exact function of RtT is unknown although it is thought that it may be involved in changing the cellular response in relation to amino acid starvation.
Source: RNAcentral
UGUAUCGGAAGCCUGACGAGGAUGAGAACCUCCGGGGGCAAGAGGUUCGACUCGAGCGCAGCGAGAGAACGUUGCGUCAGCAACGGCCCGCAGGGCGAGCCACGCAGUGGCGAGUCA